RNA transcript from Dreissena polymorpha, 3455 nucleotides. It is a transcript of the gene named E3 ubiquitin-protein ligase TRIM71-like, with no coding region annotated. The transcript is spliced from 5 exons. The record is from RefSeq and is a predicted model, not a curated record. Lineage: Eukaryota; Metazoa; Mollusca; Bivalvia; Myida; Dreissenidae.
AUAGCGACCUUUGUCGUAAAGCGUCAAAAUGAUCGAGAUGUGCCGAGGUUAUACCGUUCUAAAUAAUGACAUUCAGUAACCUGAUAUCGAUUGUUCAAUAUAUUGAGCAUAAAUCGAGUCAAGUUGUUUCAAAUACUGUUUUUAGAGAUUAGGCGAUUGGAACGUGUGAUAUAUUUGUUUACACUCGUGAAUUUCUUACAACUCUUAGAAUCUGUAAAUGAACGGAGUCAUAUAUUCUUGAAGUAUUAAACACAAUAUUUACAUUUCUAGUUUCGUUUUACAUUUGUUGAUUAUGUGAUAAUGGCGGAGAAAGGAUCAGAUUUAUUAUAUGACUUUUGCUGCAAUGUGUGUGAAGAGAAAAAUGUCAACAAGGAAGCCAUGUUUUACUGUCAGAAGUGUUCAAAAGGCCUUUGUGAAGACUGUGAAGGGCUCCACAAAAUGUUUUAUUCAUUGCACAUCGCUUAUGAGAAAGGAGAGAUUGAUAAAUGGCCUGCUAGAACAAAAUCAUUUGAUGAUUUGCAAUUUUGUCAACAUCAUUCUGAUCGUCUGAUAGAGAUGUUUUGUGAAGAUCACGGCAAAUUAUGUUGCGCCAUGUGUCUCUUCCAUGAACACAGGCCCUGUGUCAAGCUGGUGCUGAUAACAGAAAAAAUACAAGCUGUUUAUGAUUCGGGGGACUUUCAUCAAAUUUCUGCAAGUAUCAACGAUGCCCAGCAAAAGCUUGAAACUGCAAUUGAUGAUACACAGGAAUUUCUGAAGCAACUUCAGGAUUCGUAUGAGAAAGCUUCUGAAGAAAUAAAAGGGCUUCGUCAGAAAAUAAACGACAUACUAGAUGAAUUGGAGAGAAAAACAGUGCAUUCGUUAGAUUACAUGCUGCAAAAAUUGAAACAUUCUUUACAAUCAAAUGAGGAGAAGUGUUUAAAGGCUACGGACGGUUUCAAGAAAAUAAGCGAUGCAAUUAAUAAAAUUAAAAAGGAUCCAAAGGAUCUGUCAUUUAUAGCGUACCAGAAAGCAUUGGAAAUGGUUUCACAAGCUGAGAAUCUGUUAAAGACAUUGAUUGUUCACAGGGGCUCUGUCGUAACGUUCAAUAGCAACCCGAGUAUUUAUGGAACACUAUCAGGUUUCUCAUCUCUUGGAAAUAUUGAAUGCGCUGAAAUUCAGCCGGAAAAGAGCAAACACAGGACACUCGAGUUUACGACUAAAUCACUUUACAAUAUUGGAAUAGCAUCUGACAAAUAUGAAGGUGACAUCAGAGGCAUAUGUGAGCUACCUGGUGGAGACAUUCUAAUCGCUGACAAAGAGAACAAGAGGGUGAAGUUGAUUGAUGCUAUGUACAAAGUUGUCGCUCACCUUGACAUGCCUACUUCGCCUUUGGACAUGUGUAGUAUCAGUCCUACUGAGGUCGCUGUAACAGUUUCAGACGGCUGUAACACCGAAACUGUCCAGUUCCUCAAGGUCAACAACAGGCAGAUAGUUAAAGAAAGAGUACUUAAGUUCCCACAUCACUGUAAUGGUAUUUCUCGUUAUAAAGAACAUCUGUUUAUUGCAUCACACAAUACCUUAUAUAAGUACACAAUGGACGGUCAGCUGGUGAAGAAGAUCUAUGAAGACACUUCAUAUAAUUACUCUGUGCACAAGUGCGCAGUAAGUCCCGAUGGAUCACGGCUGUAUGUAACCAAUUGGGCGUACAAUAAGCUCCUAACCCUGUCUAUGGAUGGGACUGUCCUGUCAUCUUUGGACGAUCCCGCACUUCGUGGGCGUAGAGGUAUACACGUGUCAGAGACAGGACUGCUGCUGAUAUGUGGCAAAACAUCAAACAACGUAGUCCAGGUGGAUGAUGAUGGGGGAGUGGUGACGCUGGCUUCCAAUGAGGAUGGUCUGGAUAGACCAGAGUCUGUAUACUACAGUGCGAGUACUGGCAGGCUAAUUGUUGGAAAUCAGAAUGGGAAUAUAUUGGUUGCCGAAAUAAAAUGUUAAAAUAGUGGUAAUUUGUGCACAUUAACAAGCUAUUAAGCAUCAUGAAAAAGCUGAGAACGCAUGUUGCUGGUAAAGAGUAUAAUUAAUUUUGCUUCUGAGUCAAGGUUAACUCGGCAAACUUACGGUUUGUUAGUUGUUAAAAUUCUGAAAAUGGCAAUGUAUGAUGAUGUGGAUGCCUGUUAACAGCUUUUCUUGAGAGAUUAAAACAUUUUAGUGUGCGAGAAUGUAAAUUAUCAAUGCACCCGUUCCUAUGUACCGCAUAUUUGACCAUGCAAUAUUAAAGAGAUGUUUAAAUAAAGUAAAAUGUCUAUAAACUCUGUACAAUAAAACACAGAAUUUGAAAUAUAAGUAUGAUAUUUGAAAUAAAGAUAAUACAACUAGUACAUAUGUAGUUUAAGGUUGAAAUCGGAUGAAAAGAAAUGCUUAGAAAACAUUCACUGCGUCGAAUGGUAUAGCUAUUAUGCAGAUAAUUGUAUUCGACACUUAUCUGGACACGUAUUCACGAGACUUGAAGAUAAAAUUUCAGGCAUUCCUUAAUUGAAUAAAAUUUCCUCAAUUCCUAGCAAUUUUUAUAGCAUAACAUGUUUUAAACAACUACAUGUUUCUAAUAUAAUUACUUUUAUAUAAAAAAGAAAACUAUUUUGCUAUUUGCUCUUGUGUGUACAUAUUAUUGUAAGAGUUCUCUUGAGAGCUUUGGGAAUACCAGUCCUUGUAUCCUAAGUAUCUCACAUAUAUUGCAUUGUCUUUAUUUUUAAAAACAGACAACAAUGAGAACGAUUAAACGAAUUCAAUUGUUGUUUUGUUAAUGGAAGCAUGAUGAUGGGAACAUGUGGUAAAAAAUUUAUUUUUCAAAAAAUGGUAUAUAUUUAUACAUGUACAUAUUAUACUACUUUAUGUAUUUAUUGUUAUACUAUGUAAUAAUUGUAAUCUUGUUCAUGUACAAGUUUAUUGAAUAUGUAGCAUUCAGAAUAGUAACAGAUGCAUGACACAAAUUCGACCCGUAAGCGUGCGGCUGUGCUAUCUGUGUUACGUUGGACAGAAUCACACGAAUUAAUGAAUUUACAGAGAAUAUUAUGCAUACCUGCAUCCGAUCUAUAAAGAAACAUAAAUUAAUUGAAUUUAUAGUCUUUAUUAUAAAGACUUAACAUUGAUUUAUUAUAUUGACACGUUACUUUGCUUCAUGUUCUGUUAAACGUACCGCAUGUUAUAAUUUCACAAAGUAAUGCUCUUUCUUUUAUUUUAUGGACUAAUAACUUUAGAAGAAUAAGAAAUAUUAUAAAAUCUCCAAAUGAGGUAAGACACGCCUUUUGGCGGUCACACAUUGACAAAUCAUAAAUGAAACCGUAGAAAAAAUUCACAAUUGUUACGAUUUGGUAUAUUUUAUCAUAUUCAAAACCUAAUGCUACAUUGUGUUGAUUGCUGUAUUGUUGUGUGCGUGCAUAUUAGUUUGGUAAGAAAUUAAUUAAACUAACAAUCACGAA